GCCGAGGGGGCGGGGUCACGAGCCGCCAGCCGCUGGGUGGAGGUCCCCGGCCGGGAGCCGCGGAAAGAGGAGGGCUCCCCAGACAACGGGGUCCGACGAGCAGUUGGGCACGGGCUGAGUCCGCCUGCCGGCAGAAUGUCCCUGGCUGCUUAUUGUGUCAUCUGUUGCAGAAGAAUAGGAACCUCUACUUCCCCACCAAAAAGUGGCACACACUGGAGAGAGAUCAAGGUUCUUUAUUUCUUACAUAUGAAGUUCUGGCCCUGAAGAAGGCUGUGACAUUAGAUACUCAAGUGGUAGAAAGAGAAAAAAUGAAGUCAUAUAUAUAUGUGCACACAGUUUCUUUAGAUAAAGGAGAAAAUCAUGGUAUUGCCUGGCAGGCAAGAAAAGAACUUCACAAAGCAGUAAGAAAAGUAUUGGCAACAUCAGCCAAGAUACUGCGGAAUCCAUU
Molecule: long non-coding RNA, 448 nt
Filed under: Pan troglodytes (chimpanzee)
Lineage: Eukaryota; Metazoa; Chordata; Mammalia; Primates; Hominidae
Description: long non-coding RNA NONPTRT015380
Source: RNAcentral